AUGCUUACCUGGCAGGGGAGACACCAUGAUCUUGAAGGUGGUUUUCCAAGGGCGAGGCUCAUCCUUUGCACUCCAGAUGUGCUGACAUUGCCCUACAUAUGAGAAACUCGACUGCCUAAUCUACAGUAGUGGGGAACUGGGUUCACACUUUCCUCUG
Sus scrofa (pig) is the source of this 157-nucleotide small nuclear RNA. It matches the Rfam family "U1 spliceosomal RNA". From Rfam's summary of the family: U1 is a small nuclear RNA (snRNA) component of the spliceosome (involved in pre-mRNA splicing). Lineage: Eukaryota; Metazoa; Chordata; Mammalia; Artiodactyla; Suidae. The record is from Rfam.